This is a long non-coding RNA of Engraulis encrasicolus (European anchovy), 439 nucleotides long. RefSeq lists it as uncharacterized. The record is from RefSeq and is a predicted model, not a curated record. Lineage: Eukaryota; Metazoa; Chordata; Actinopteri; Clupeiformes; Engraulidae. The transcript has 3 exons.
UAGCCAUAUUGAUAGGAUCACCGGCACGAGCUCAGCCAGCCGAAGCGGACAACGAACCUCGCAGACGAAAUCACGGAAAAUACAAUGACAGUCGAAGAUGCAGAAUUCGGGACAUCAGAAAAACAGCUUGACGUGUUGCUGCACUUCCUUUCACCUGUAACCAAACUGUCAUGGAUUGUGCUCUUGUGUGCAGGUGUGUGUUGGUGUUCCAAGCAGACGAGCAAGGCAUGAGCAUGAGGGCCAUGGGCUAGACGUAAGGAAGCAGAUGGGCAAGUCAAAGGCCAUGAAGUAGGAACAAUGGAGACCGUGGGCGAAGAGGAGGUGGCAAGAUUAUCGGAGUGACCCUAUCAAGGCUCAAGAUUAUUCAAGCAACCCAACCUGCUUAUUUUGAGAUUUCAUGUGCUAAGAUUAAUAAAUCAUCAUUAUUAUACAAACAGUG